GCACAAUAUAUAUAUAUAUAUAUAUAUAGUUGAGCUAGAAUGCUAUCGGUAGUAAACGAGCCGUUUUACUACCGAUUUGUUUUCGAUGAUAGAACUUUCAAAUUGACGAUCGGCUCCGUUGAACAUGAUCUAUACCACUUGAAGUGUUUAGAAAUCAAUUUUCAAAUCUUUUCGACAUCAUUUGCCUAAUGAUCAAAGGGUUUCAAAAUUUAUAAUUUUAAUGGUCGAUAAAAGGCGUUUUCUUGUUUAACGGCUAAAGAUAUCCAAAUCAAUUGAAUUUUUGUUAGAAAAUUCUUUAAAUUAUUUAAAACAAGAUCUAUACUCUUGAUCUUGAUUACAAGACUCCUAUCAUCAUUUUUUAAAGAGUAUUCAUUUUCUGUUUUCAUGAUGGUAAAAGACAAUAUCGAAAGUGGUGAAUUGAUUUCUAUGUCGUUUUAAAUGGUUUAGAUAUAUUAACGGAGCGCACGUCAAUUUGAAAGCUCUAUCAUUCAAAACAAAUCGGUAGUAAAACGGCUCGUUAUACGAAUAGUAGCUCAUCUCCUCUCGGUCUAUCUCCUCUCUCUCUUUCUCUCUUUCUUAUAAUAUAUAUAUAUAUAUAUAUAUAAUUGAGCUCCUAUAUUUUUAAAAGUACCAAGUUAUUGGUGCUUGUAGAUUUUUAGCCAUUGGAUUAAGAGAUAUGCGGUUAGAAUGAUGUGGCCUCCCUAGGGUUGAGUGGGUGGUUGGUUGAAUAGUAUAAUCUAAUGGUUGAAAAUGAUCUGAGAAGUAGAUCUAACGGUAAAAAACUUAAGUAAGUUAAUUCCAUUCAACACCUUGUUUU
Molecule: long non-coding RNA, 817 nt
Filed under: Ananas comosus (pineapple)
Lineage: Eukaryota; Viridiplantae; Streptophyta; Magnoliopsida; Poales; Bromeliaceae
Description: long non-coding RNA (ACOM_LNC006171)
Source: RNAcentral